Molecule: long non-coding RNA, 1264 nt
Organism: Oncorhynchus kisutch (coho salmon)
Lineage: Eukaryota; Metazoa; Chordata; Actinopteri; Salmoniformes; Salmonidae
Exons: 3
Source: RefSeq, a predicted model, not a curated record
CCGAAUUGGGCUGCCUUGUCUAAACGCAGCCAGUGUUACUUGGCAGAAACAUUGUAGCAUUUCUCAUUUAUAAUUCAAAGGAUGUAGGCUACAGCAGAAUUGUUGGUUAUUUUCCAAAUCUCGGCACUAAACGAUCAAGAGGAAAGAGUUAUUGUCCACUUAAUCACGAUGGUAAAGAGCAAAAGACAGGGAAGAACCAGAGGAGAUGAAUCAAUGAGUUUGAUUAGUCGAGUCAGCAUCUCCAGAGGACUCCAGCCGCAGAGAAGCAGAAACAGGCCAAAGCAACGACAAUCCAAUUGCCCCUCUAAACAGGUUGAGGCACUGAGCAGCGCGGGAGGACCAGAGGAAGGAUGAGACAGUAAAUGUUUUGAUUGGACUCUGUGCCCAGGGGAUGGAUGGGGCACAACCUGGCCCUCCACAGAUGGUGCCCACUGUUAGCCCUCAUCGCCCAUCUGCCCUGGGCAGCCUUGCCUUGCCAUGCUCUGCUAGUGGGCACAAGCUCUGCUCUGCCUCUCCCUCUUCACCAGCCUCAGCACACCCAUACACUAGCAGACCCCUCGGUCAGGCAGGAGCGGGAGGCCACACGGGAACACAGGGCUCAUCUCUCCUCCUCUCCCCGCUACUCUCCUCCCUCUCUCUACUUGGAUCAGAGCUUCAUUUGCUUCCAGUGACCCUCUUAAUUUGUGUGUUGGCUGUCAAACACUGAUAGCAGACAGACGCCUCAGGUCCCUAUCAGCCAGCCAGAAGAUUAGGCCCACGUUGCAUGGGGAUAAUGAUUUAUACAUGCAGUGGGGACAGUUUAAUAUGAGGACAACACAUUCACAGUUGCAGAAUGGCUUCCUGUCUGUCCACAUUGAGACUGCAAUGUGUGGCAAUAGAAGUAUUUGAAUUUGGUUUUGUCAUCAGUCAUAGAGCAAUAUGAGUCCGUAACAGUAGGUACAUAUACUGCAAACAGUGUCCGUAUCAUCAAAGACACAGAUAUAGAUCGCUGCAAUGUAAACUCUAAAAUGUAAUAUAAGGGCAAAGCUGACUCCAUUACAAUUAUAAAUACUCAGAAACUCACCCUGGCCGAGUGUGAACCAAGGCCUUAGCAUUCUGCCAUAUUUCUGGAGGAUAUCAUGCAUCUUGUUGGCUAAACCCAGACUCUGUUCUGUAUUUACUUAGAGAAGUAUCCAGCCAAGCAAGGUCUCUGCAUUUGGGAAGAAAAACUGUUGAAAUGUUAAAGCACUCGUAACUAAAAUAAAGGAAUUCCAUUAAAUAUUGA